Molecule: ribosomal RNA, 494 nt
Filed under: uncultured bacterium
Lineage: Bacteria
Description: partial 16S ribosomal RNA
Rfam family: Bacterial small subunit ribosomal RNA
Source: RNAcentral
GAACGCUGGCGGCGUGCCUAAUACAUGCAAGUCGAGCGAACAGAUGAGGAGCUUGCUCCUCUGACGUUAGCGGCGGACGGGUGAGUAACACGUGGAUAACCUACCUAUAAGACUGGGAUAACUUCGGGAAACCGGAGCUAAUACCGGAUAAUAUAUUGAACCGCAUGGUUCAAUAGUGAAAGACGGUUUUGCUGUCACUUAUAGAUGGAUCCGCGCCGCAUUAGCUAGUUGGUAAGGUAACGGCUUACCAAGGCAACGAUGCGUAGCCGACCUGAGAGGGUGAUCGGCCACACUGGAACUGAGACACGGUCCAGACUCCUACGGGAGGCAGCAGUAGGGAAUCUUCCGCAAUGGGCGAAAGCCUGACGGAGCAACGCCGCGUGAGUGAUGAAGGUCUUCGGAUCGUAAAACUCUGUUAUUAGGGAAGAACAAAUGUGUAAGUAACUAUGCACGUCUUGACGGUACCUAACCAGAAAGCCACGGCUAACUACGUG